GACGAACGCUGGCGGCGUGCUUAACACAUGCAAGUCGAACGGAAAGGCCCUGCUCUUGUGGGGUGCUCGAUUGGCGAACGGGUGAGUAACACGUGAGUAACCUGUCCUUGACUUUGGGAUAACUUCAGGAAACUGGGGCUAAUACCGGAUAGGAGCUCCUGCUGCAUGGUGGUGGUUGGAAAGUUUCGGCGGUUGGGGAUGGACUCGCAGCUUAUCGGCUUGUUGGUGGGGUAGUGGCUUACCAAGGCUUUGACGGGUAGCCCGCCUGAGAGCGUGAACGGCGACAUGGGGACUGAGAGACGGAGCAGACGCCUACGGGAGGCAGCAGGGGGGAAUAUUGCACAAUGGGCGGAAGCCUGAUGCAGCAACGCCGCGUGCGGGAUGACGGCCUACGGGUUGUAAACCGAUGUCGAAGGAGACGAAGAGGGAGUGACGGUAACGGGUAAAGAAGCACCGGCUAACUACGUG
This 468-nucleotide ribosomal RNA is filed under the name uncultured bacterium. Its description in RNAcentral is "partial 16S ribosomal RNA". It matches the Rfam family "Bacterial small subunit ribosomal RNA", at positions 28 to 507 of the family's 1533-position model. The record is from RNAcentral.